GUAUGGUGCAAGCGUUAUCCGGAUUUACUGGGUGUAAAGGGAGCGUAGACGGAGCAGCAAGUCUGGAGUGAAAACCCGGGGCUCAACCCCGGGACUGCUUUGGAAACUGUUGUUCUAGAGUGCUGGAGAGGUAAGUGGAAUUCCUAGUGUAGCGGUGAAAUGCGUAGAUAUUAGGAGGAACACCAGUGGCGAAGGCGGAUUACUGGACAGUAACUGACGUUGAGGCUCGAAAGCGUGGGGAGCAAACAGGAUUAGAUACCCUGGUAGUCCACGCCGCAAACGAUGACUGCUAGGUGUCGGGUGGCAAAGCCAUUCGGUGCGCAGCUAACGCAAUAAGCAGUCCACCUGGGGAGUACGUUCGCAAGAAUG
Molecule: ribosomal RNA, 369 nt
Filed under: uncultured bacterium
Lineage: Bacteria
Description: bacterial SSU rRNA
Rfam family: Bacterial small subunit ribosomal RNA
Source: RNAcentral